AUUGAACGCUGGCGGCAGGCCUAACACAUGCAAGUCGAGCGGUAGCACAAGAGAGCUUGCUCUCUGGGUGACGAGCGGCGGACGGGUGAGUAAUGUCUGGGAAACUGCCUGAUGGAGGGGGCUAACUACUGGAAACGGUAGCUAAUACCGCAUGAUGUCUUCGGACCAAAGUGGGGGACCUUCGGGCCUCACGCCAUCAGAUGUGCCCAGAUGGGAUUAGCUAGUAGGUGGGGUAAUGGCUCACCUAGGCGACGAUCUCUAGCUGGUCGGAGAGGAUGACCGGCCACACAGGAACUGAGACACGGUCCAGACUCCUACGGGAGGCAGCAGUGGGGAAUAUUGCACAAUGGGCGCAAGCCUGAUGCAGCCAUGCCGCGUGUAUGAAGAAGGCCUUCGGGUUGUAAAGUACUUUCAGCGAGAAGAAAGGCAUUGUGGUUAAUACCCACAGUGAUUGACGUUACUCGCAGAAGAAGCACCGGCUAACUCCGUGCCAGCCGCCGCCGUAA
This 506-nucleotide ribosomal RNA is filed under the name uncultured bacterium. Its description in RNAcentral is "partial 16S ribosomal RNA". It matches the Rfam family "Bacterial small subunit ribosomal RNA", at positions 30 to 523 of the family's 1533-position model. The record is from RNAcentral.